CGCAAAAAUUCGGAAAUAUAACACCGAUAUGACGGAAACUAAGGCGGCAAGAGUGGAACAAAACACUAGGCGAAAGGCCGAGCCUUCCACCCUUUACCAAGUAUAUAGAUGCAUUAAGAUAACAAGAUAAUAUAGUGAUAUCCCAACAAGUAAAUAAUGUUCCAACAAGGAACGGUCUCCAAUCUUCACUUGCAACUAGCAACGCUAUAAUAGGGGCUGAACAAAGCGGUAACAUAGCCAACCAAUGGUUUGCUAGGACAUAGUGGGUUAGAGGUUUGACAUGGCAAUUUGGGAGGCUUGAAAGCAAGUGGUAGGCAUCGUAGCAUGUCAUAGCAAAAGAGCGAGCAUCUAGUAAAGCAAAGAUAAUAGUGAUUUCGAGGGUAUGAUCAUCUUGCCUGCAAAGUUGUCAGAGUUGACUGGAUCCUCGAGAGCAAACUCAACGGGUUCCUCGUUAGCGAAUUCGUCUCCCGGCUCUAUCCAAACAAGACAAACAAGCAAAAGGAACACAAUCAAUCACGUGCAAAGCUCAAACAAUAUGAUGCAAGGAUGGUAUGCUAUGCAGGAUGCGAUGCGGGAUGCAUAUGCAAGAUUUGAUAAGGGAUGCAUGAACCUGGCCUCAACUUGGAAAACCAAGUGUGCCACUGGAAAGGUGAGAUGAAAUCGCUUGAAAACGAUAUAAAGAACGCCGGAAUUGGAGUUACGGUUUGGAAAUGGCAAGCAAUUCAAAUAUGGCCACGUUCUGCGAUUUACAACAAGUAGCCAUCUAAAUGCAACAAGAUGAACAUGCUACAGCACUCAAACAUGACAUCAAAAUACAUGGCAGGAAUCCAUUCAAGAUACUAGACAAAAGUUUAGCACUGAGCUACGGCCAAUUCAUCCAUUAACAGGUUCAAAUAAGCAUGGCAAAAAUGUAUUUGGCAAACAGAUCUCAGACUUAGUGAAAUUAACACUUGUCUGGAAUUUCAGAUCGGAUAGCACACUUCGAAGCAUGAAAACUAUAUGCUACAGGACCUGAACAUGGCAAAGUAAAGCAUGGCAUGGAGCUACUCAAAGAGCUUAACAAAAGUCCCUUAGUGACCUUGAUCCAAAAAGAAUCAGAAAAUACAAUUGCAAGCAUGUGAACAUGGCAAAAAUAUAAUCAGAUCACAGACUUAGUGAAAACUGGAGCAUACUGAAACAUAUAACAAGUAAGCAUGUUUACGAGCUUGAUGCACUCACUACAGAGCAAGCCAUGACAGCCUAAGCAUACACCCAUCAAGAACACACAAAAUGCAAGCUAGACAUGGCAAGAACAAUAACAUAGCAUGCAUGGAUCAACUACAACAUCAUCGGUAAAAUCGCUAACAAGUAGACAAUCUGCCCAGAUUCACGAAAUGACAAAAGUAGAGCUCGAUUGACUCAAGCUAGGGUGCUUCAUAAUUGCAAACAAAGACAUGGAUGGAUAGAACACUACAAGAUUAACAAAACAUCCUUACUGGUCAUCCUCAAAAGAGGCAUGGAUCAUUAGGAAACAACAUGAACAUAUGGCCAUAUGAGAUAAACAGACCAAUGAGUUAGUGGAAAUGCUAAGUCCCUGAAAUCAGCAUUAACAAAUGCCCCACUUUGCAAGCUUGUGCUAGUCAUCACACACAUCACAAAAAUACAUAGGUUGCACCUCUGGAAAGAUGGCAAAACCUUUAACAAAAUAUAUGUAGAACACCAGGGCAUAUCAUUCACACAAUAAUCAUGGCAAAAAUGAUAAAUAGCUAAAUGGAGCAGCAGAUCUGACAAUUAACUCAAAUAGCACCCUUCUAAUAGCAUUUCGGGCAUCAAGAUGAACUCAAAUGAAAAUGAUGCAAUGAGAUGAAAUGAUGUACUUUCUGAUAUGAACAUUUUGAUAUGCUAUAUGCCCAAAACGGAGCUACGGAUGAGGAGUUACGACAUGAUGAACAGGAGCAAAUGAAUUAGGGUUAGGGACGGAAAGUCAACCGAAUCUCAGAUCUGGAUCGGGUUUACACGCGGUUCGAGGUUCGUCGCCGUUCCACCGGAGUUGACGUCCGAGUCGGCCGGAUCGGAGGAAGACAAGCGUCGGGGUCGAGGUGGAGCGAGGAGGAGGCCGGCCGGAGCGCGUCGGGGCGGCGAGGCGCGUCGGCGG
Molecule: ribosomal RNA, 2134 nt
Filed under: Triticum aestivum (bread wheat)
Lineage: Eukaryota; Viridiplantae; Streptophyta; Magnoliopsida; Poales; Poaceae
Description: partial small subunit ribosomal RNA
Source: RNAcentral